This 470-nucleotide ribosomal RNA is filed under the name uncultured Anoxybacillus sp. Its description in RNAcentral is "bacterial SSU rRNA". It matches the Rfam family "Bacterial small subunit ribosomal RNA", at positions 916 to 1381 of the family's 1533-position model. The record is from RNAcentral. Lineage: Bacteria; Bacillati; Bacillota; Bacilli; Caryophanales; Anoxybacillaceae.
GACGGGGCCCGCACAAGCAGCGGAGCGUGUGGUUAAUUCGAAGCAACGCGAAGAACCUUACCAGGUCUUGACAUCCCCUGACAACCCGAGAGAUCGGGCGUUCCCCCUUCGGGGGACAGGGUGACAGGUGGUGCAUGGUUGUCGUCAGCUCGUGUCGUGAGAUGUUGGGUUAAGUCCCGCAACGAGCGCAACCCUCGACCUUAGUUGCCAGCAUUCAGUUGGGCACUCUAAGGUGACUGCCGGCUAAAAGUCGGAGGAAGGUGGGGAUGACGUCAAAUCAUCAUGCCCCUUAUGACCUGGGCUACACACGUGCUACAAUGGGCGGUACAAAGGGUCGCGAACCCGCGAGGGGGAGCCAAUCCCAAAAAGCCGCUCUCAGUUCGGAUUGCAGGCUGCAACUCGCCUGCAUGAAGCCGGAAUCGCUAGUAAUCGCGGAUCAGCAUGCCGCGGUGAAUACGUUCCCGGGCCUU